Molecule: long non-coding RNA, 801 nt
Filed under: Marmota monax (woodchuck)
Lineage: Eukaryota; Metazoa; Chordata; Mammalia; Rodentia; Sciuridae
Source: RNAcentral
AGAGUACUGCCUUAGAGUUGAUGCCCUGUGCACCAACUCUAUAUACCUUGUAUAUACCUUGCACAGUUUAUAUUUGGUGUUGUUACUCUGUAAUGGACUUAAGUGGUGGGAUUUAGAAUACACUAAGAACAGCUGGGUGGUGGAACAAUUUUAUAAUGCUUUUUGGUUUAUAUGCUACAUUCACAGAAUUGGAAAUAGGUAGUAUCAGCCCUUAAUCUUACACAUGGGAGGAAAGUUGAGGAAAUAUAGGUGACUUGCCUGUCACUGCACAGCUGUAUAGUGGCUUAAAACCUACAUUCCUGGCUUCCCAUUUCGGUGCUGUCUUGCUAGGUCUAGGUUUGCAUCUUAGGUCUGCAUCUUUGUGUCCUACUCAAAUGUGAGCACUGCCUUCCUGCUUUACUUAGUUUCUCCUAGAAUCUUUCUGUACUUCUUGUCUGGCUGCCUUCAGGUAAUUUUGGCAUUAGAAUUAGAUUUUUCACAGAACUAUUAAACUUAGAGGCAUAUCCAGUGAGUCAUUGAAGCCUUAUAUUGCAGAAAAAGUAUAAUAAAGGAGUAUAUUAGGAGUUUUAAGGUCAUUUUGCAGAUUAGUGGGGUUAAAAUGUAAAGAAAGCCUUAAAUUUAGUGUGGUGUCAUAGUUGUAAAUGGACAACCAUGAAGUAGAAGUGACAGAUAUUUCAAGAUAAAAGGUAAGCUAAGGGGCUGGGGUUGUGGAUCAGUGGUAGAGCGCUCACCUAGCAUUGUGAGGCCCUGGGUUUGAUCUUCAGCACCACAUAAACAUAAAUAAAUAAAUGUAUUGUGUCC